GCUCCGUGGUGUGACAAAUCAUAUUCACGGGGACAUUUGGAAAGCUCCGGCUUGUCAUUGUUUUCUUUUGUUUUCUUUUCCAGGGCGCUCACAGAAUGGGUGUGGGUCUCUAAAAGCGGGGUCCACGCCAGGUAACGCGUGGCAUCGAUGGCAGGGUGGGGUCCCUGCAGAUGUGCCCGCGAAGCCCCAGGGCCCCCAAGGUAUACUGAGCAGCAGAGAGCACGGGAGAGCCAAACCCGCUGGUGAACAGCUCUGCCCUGAAGGGAUUUUGAACCUCGGAACGCUUUGGGUGUGAACCAUGAAUCAUGCCUAUGAAGACGGUCACUUCUGGUCUGUUCGAUUAUAACAUCACAACGUGAUUCAACACUCAAAUAGCAAAAUCAUAUUUGCCCCCAAAAAUGCAAUGUCAUCGGUGUGAAGGGCAGCAAGGAUUUCUUCCCUUGCCCAAGAGAGGGGACAGCAGCCGUGGAAGGCUGCACGAGCAGCCCCGGCGGGACAGCAGGCAGGAGCACGAUGCCAGGGGCGGCCUUAACCCACGAGAGCCCUGACGCCAUCAGUACACGGCCGACGAGGAGUGUGACCGCAGGGAACUGCAGAACGGCCCUCCCGACAGCACCUCCUGGUGUCAGCUUCCUCCUCCAGGGAGUCCUCCUGAGCUUCAAGAAGCGCACUCUACUGAUACAGAUUCGAGGAGUCAAAGAAAGUGUGGACAACGUGGAAGAAAGUGUGCAGAAGCACGCAGCUCCUCCAGUAGAGAGAACGGGAGAACGGGCCUGCUCCUGAAACCUCAGGAAACGCACGGCAAGAGGCGUCAUCCAUAUCCCACCACUCGAGUCACUGUCCACAUUUUUUCUACUUCCUUCCAGACUUGUAUUCAUCAAAUGCACCUAUUUCCAAUGCCACAUACACUUUUUCACUUAACAUGACACCGUACCAUCAUUUACAUGAUGGCCUACUCUUCACGGUCAUCAUUUCCGUGGUUGUAUGACAUUCCAUCCAGGGAUACUCUGAUUUACAUUAUGCAUUCCUUACUUACAAAUAUUGUUUUGAAUCUCUUCCUAAUAAUCAUUCACAUAGCCAUGAUUAUCUCUGAGAAGAAAAAAUAUAUAUAUGUGCUUCUCAUGCCUGGAACCUUGUUUUAUUUGUCUUCAUAUCCUCAUCAGUACUUGGGGAAAUAAAUGGAAGCAGAUACAUGGAUGAAUGGAUGGA
This 1209-nucleotide long non-coding RNA is filed under the name Ursus maritimus (polar bear). RNAcentral's name for it is "lncRNA (ENSUMAG00000000485.1)". Lineage: Eukaryota; Metazoa; Chordata; Mammalia; Carnivora; Ursidae. The record is from RNAcentral.